AUGCGGGUGGUUGGACUUGUGGUCAUGGAAAGCGCUAGGAAAAUACCAAGCUCUAGGGUCACUAACAUUAAAGAGGGAGAUGCCAACACCCGCUAUUUUCACUCGAAGAUCAAUGGAAUUCGGUGGAAAAUCCUAAUUCACCGCCUUAAGCAUGGGAGUGGCGGGGUAACGGAUCACGACUACAAGAAGGCCAUUAUCCAUGCUCACUUCUCAGCUAUGAUGAAAAAGAGCAACCCACGCGCUAAGAGCGUCAAUUGGGCUUCCAUUCCUGCUGCCGACCAUGACCUAUCCCAUCUUGGGGACCCCAUCAUGGAGGAGAUCAAGGCUGCGAUUUUUGCCCUCCCUAGUGACAAGGCUCACGGGCCUGACGAAUUCACCGGGAAAUUCUGCAAAGAAUAUUGGGAUAUUAUCAAAGAUGGCAUCAUGCUUGUGAUCAAUAACUUCUCGGGCCUCCACACGAAAAAAAUUCACUGGCUAAACUCGACUAAUCUUGCUCUCAUCCACAAGAAAGAUGGCGUCGAGGACAUCACUAACUUAGGCAUAUUAGGCCCAAGGAGCUUGGAGGAUCCAUGCGCACUGGCGUGCACUUCCCCUGUUCAGGGCGCCAUGACGCAGCCUUUAAAGGAGCAACCGGUAGUCAAGGACGACCUGGUUGGCCACGGCGUCACCGGUGGAGGACACUCGGAAGUUGAUGGUGCGGAUGGCGGGUGGGGAGGGGGGGUCACCGACGCCGGAGAAGAGUCUGAACCUAGAGGAAUGGCGGGGGCAGCGGCAAGGCAAUGA
Molecule: ribosomal RNA, 783 nt
Filed under: Triticum aestivum (bread wheat)
Lineage: Eukaryota; Viridiplantae; Streptophyta; Magnoliopsida; Poales; Poaceae
Description: partial small subunit ribosomal RNA
Source: RNAcentral